GACAGAGGAUGUUCAACUAAAACCACCACGUCCUGUGGCAACGCUGAACCGACCCACGUCGUGUGCG
Molecule: small RNA, 67 nt
Filed under: Alteribacillus persepolensis
Lineage: Bacteria; Bacillati; Bacillota; Bacilli; Caryophanales; Bacillaceae
Description: Bacillus sp. HS-136 Bacillaceae-1 RNA
Rfam family: Bacillaceae-1 RNA
Source: Rfam by way of RNAcentral